UACGUAGGGGGCUAGCGUUGUCCGGAAUCAUUGGGCGUAAAGCGCGUGUAGGCGGCCCGGUAAGUCCGCUGUGAAAGUCGGGGGCUCAACCCUCGGAUGCCGGUGGAUACUGUCGGGCUCGAGUACGGAAGAGGCGAGUGGAAUUCCUGGUGUAGCGGUGAAAUGCGUAGAUAUCGGGAGGAACACCAGUGGCGAAGGCGACUACCUGGCCUGUUCUUGACGCUGAGGCGCGAAAGCUAGGGGAGCAAACGGG
RNAcentral lists this ribosomal RNA (253 nucleotides) under uncultured bacterium. Its description in RNAcentral is "partial 16S ribosomal RNA". It matches the Rfam family "Bacterial small subunit ribosomal RNA", at positions 524 to 776 of the family's 1533-position model. The record is from RNAcentral.